AUUGAACGCUGGCGGCAGGCCUAAUACAUGCAAGUCGAACGGUAACAGGAAGAAGCUUGCUUCUUUGCUGACGAGUGGCGGACGGGUGAGUAAUGUCUGGGAAACUGCCUGAUGGAGGGGGAUAACUACUGGAAACGGUAGCUAAUACCGCAUAACGUCGCAAGACCAAAGAGGGGGACCUUCGGGCCUCUUGCCAUCGGAUGUGCCCAGAUGGGAUUAGCUAGUAGGUGGGGUAACGGCUCACCUAGGCGACGAUCCCUAGCUGGUCUGAGAGGAUGACCAGCCACACUGGAACUGAGACACGGUCCAGACUCCUACGGGAGGCAGCAGUGGGGAAUAUUGCACAAUGGGCUCAAUCCUGAUGCAGCCAUGCCGCGUGUAUGAAGAAGGCCUUCGGGUUGUAAAGUACUUUCAGCGGGGAGGAAGGGAGUAAAGUUAAUACCUUUGCUCAUUGACGUUACCCGCAGAAGAAGCACCGGCUAACCCCGUG
Molecule: ribosomal RNA, 490 nt
Filed under: uncultured bacterium
Lineage: Bacteria
Description: partial 16S ribosomal RNA
Rfam family: Bacterial small subunit ribosomal RNA
Source: RNAcentral